CAGCAGCCACGGUAAUACAGAGGCCUCAAGCGUUGUUCGGAUUCAUUGGGCGUAAAGGGUGCGUAGGUGGCUUGGUAAGUUGAAGGUGAAAUCUCGGGGCUUAACCCCGAAACUGCCUUCAAUACUGCUAGGCUCGAGGACUGUAGAGGAGAAUGGAAUUCACGGUGUAGCAGUGAAAUGCGUAGAUAUCGUGAGGAAGACCAGUGGCGAAGGCGAUUCUCUGGGCAGUUCCUGACACUGAGGCACGAAGGCCAGGGGAGCAAACGGGAUUAGAUACCCCGGUAGUCCCUGUCUCUUAUAC
Molecule: ribosomal RNA, 301 nt
Filed under: uncultured bacterium
Lineage: Bacteria
Description: partial 16S ribosomal RNA
Rfam family: Bacterial small subunit ribosomal RNA
Source: RNAcentral